This 429-nucleotide ribosomal RNA is filed under the name Acidobacteriota bacterium. RNAcentral describes it as "Acidobacteria bacterium partial 16S ribosomal RNA". It matches the Rfam family "Bacterial small subunit ribosomal RNA", at positions 355 to 776 of the family's 1533-position model. Lineage: Bacteria; Pseudomonadati; Acidobacteriota. The record is from RNAcentral.
UGGGGAAUUUUGGACAAUGGGGGAAACCCUGAUCCAGCCAUCCCGCGUGUGCGAUGAAGGCCUUCGGGUUGUAAAGCACUUUUGGCAGGAAAGAAACGUCAUGGGUUAAUACCCCGUGAAACUGACGGUACCUGCAGAAUAAGCACCGGCUAACUACGUGCCAGCAGCCGCGGUAAUACGUAGGGUGCAAGCGUUAAUCGGAAUUACUGGGCGUAAAGCGUGCGCAGGCAGUUCGGAAAGAAAGAUGUGAAAUCCCAGAGCUCAACUUUGGAACUGCAUUUUUAACUACCGGUCUAGAGUGUGUCAGAGAGAGGUGGAAUUCCGCGUGUAGCAGUGAACUGCGUAGAUAUGCGGAGGAACACCGAUGGCGAAGGCAGCCUCCUGGGAUAACACUGACGCUCAUGCACGAAAGCGUGGGGAGCAAACAGG